RNAcentral lists this ribosomal RNA (500 nucleotides) under uncultured bacterium. Its description in RNAcentral is "partial 16S ribosomal RNA". It matches the Rfam family "Bacterial small subunit ribosomal RNA", at positions 30 to 523 of the family's 1533-position model. The record is from RNAcentral.
AUUGAACGCUGGCGGAAUGCUUUACACAUGCAAGUCGAACGGCAGCACGGACUUCGGUCUGGUGGCGAGUGGCGAACGGGUGAGUAAUGUAUCGGAACGUGCCCAGUCGUGGGGGAUAACGUAGUGAAAAUUACGCUAAUACCGCAUACGAUCUAUGGAUGAAAGCGGGGGAUCGCAAGACCUCGAGCGAUUGGAGCGGCCGAUAUCAGAUUAGGUAGUUGGUGGGGUAAAGGCCCACCAAGCCAACGAUCGGUAGCUGGUCUGAGAGGACGACCAGCCACACUGGAACUGAGACACGGUCCAGACUCCUACGGGAGGCAGCAGUGGGGAAUUUUGGACAAUGGGCGAAAGCCUGAUCCAGCCAUUCCGCGUGCAGGAUGAAGGCCCUCGGGUUGUAAACUGCUUUUGUACAGAACGAAAAGGUUUCUACUAAUACUAGGAGCUCAUGACGGUACUGUAAGAAUAAGCACCGGCUAACUCCGUGCCAGCCGCCGCGGUAA